GGGGACGCGCGGGUUCGACAGGGGAGGGCGCGACAAGACUGCAGGCUGAGGUGCCGCUACCCUCAUAAAACCAGUGGCACAACAGUAACUGGCGAUAACGAGCCUGUACUCGUAGCCGCCUAACAUCGGCUACCGUUCACACUGACCUCUCCUCGAUGGGUCGGUGAUGGGCGACGCAAUGUCGGGGUGCGGCCAUUCUGACGUCGAUAUGAGUGGUCUAAGAAAACUCGACUAACUCAGCCAGACUCGGUUGACAGAGGCUGGCCGGGUGAGACAAACAGUCAACUAAGCCUGUAGCAGGUCUUGAGCAAGUUCCUCUGGACGGGGAGUUCGACUCUCCCCCGUCUCCACCA
RNAcentral lists this transfer-messenger RNA (353 nucleotides) under Dehalococcoidia. RNAcentral's name for it is "RBG-13-53-26 sp001795035 Standard tmRNA". It matches the Rfam family "transfer-messenger RNA". Rfam says of the family: Bacterial tmRNA, also known as 10Sa RNA or SsrA, is named for its dual tRNA and mRNA-like properties. The record is from RNAcentral. RNAcentral also lists the same sequence under 1 other name. Lineage: Bacteria; Bacillati; Chloroflexota.